This 520-nucleotide ribosomal RNA is filed under the name uncultured bacterium. RNAcentral's name for it is "bacterial SSU rRNA". It matches the Rfam family "Bacterial small subunit ribosomal RNA", at positions 29 to 518 of the family's 1533-position model. The record is from RNAcentral.
ACGAACGCUGGCGGCGUGCCUAAUACAUGCAAGUCGAACGGUCUUUCUAUGGAAGCUUGCUUCCACUGAGAAGAUAGUGGCGAACGGGUGAGUAACACGUGGGUAACCUGCCCAUAAGAGGGGGAGUAACAUCCGGAAACGGGUGCUAAUACCGCAUAGUUUUCUUGAUCGCAUGAUUGAGAAAGGAAAGACGGCCUUUGUGCUGUCGCUUAUGGAUGGACCCGCGGCGUAUUAGUUAGUUGGUGAGGUAACGGCUCACCAAGACGAUGAUACGUAGCCGACCUGAGAGGGUGAUCGGCCACAUUGGGACUGAGACACGGCCCAAACUCCUACGGGAGGCAGCAGUAGGGAAUCUUCCGCAAUGGACGAAAGUCUGACGGAGCAACGCCGCGUGAGUGAAGUAAAAGGGUUUUCGGAUCGUAAAACUCUGUUGUCAGAGAAGAACAAGUUGGAGAGUAACUGCUCCAGCCUUGACGGUAUCUGACCAGAAAGCCACGGCUAACUACGUGCCAGCAGCCGC